UUUUUUCAUUUCAGCUUUGAUGGCAUUGGCCAGCUGAUCAUGAGCUUCUCCCCAUGCAUUUUCCAUAGCAGCUGACCACAUCUCAGGUACUGCUUCUUUUAUGGUCUCCAAAAGUGCUUGCUUUGUUACCUUAACAUAUCAAAACAAUGAAAAAAAAUUAGUAUAUCAUUGAUCUUCUAGAAAAGUACGGUCUAUUAUAGACAACAGCACUCACAAUAUUGCAAGAUUAAACUCAUGUAUAUAGAGUGCUUAAAUACAUGUAGUAGUUUUCAUUUUAUUUUUCUCCUGAUAUAUUGUUUUCUACAGUCCUCUGUAGUACCGAUAUUUCUGAUUGAAGAUGUAUCUGAUAUCCGAACAUGUUUGUGUCUAGUGUCUGACAUGAUGCCAGCACAUGUGAUUGCAUUUAAUUAUGACAUUUAUAAAUUAACACGAAUAUAUUAGUGUUGUGUCUGAUGUCUGUGUCUACCGACCGGUGCUUCAUAGCUCAUAAUGAAAGUUAAAUUAGUACUAUUAUACUAUUACCUCAAAAUGCUCUUCUUUUACACCUGUUUUGAAAUGAGUGGCACCUAACUUCUUCAAGUUUGAUUCUCUAACAGUAACUUUACCAGCCUUCCGCAGUUGAACUGCUGAUUCACAUGUCUACAAAAUAACAAAAUUAAGCCAAUUAAAUUGAUAUAUGAAGAGAAUAAUAGUAAUUCAUCAUUAAUAAAUUAAUGGAUUUUAAUUGUUAAAUAACCAUAUAAGCUUACCAUGAUAAACACAGACAUGGCAUGAGGCUUGAGCUUAGGAUUUUGCUCCAAAGGAACAUUUGAAUCUUUUAAGAAUGAGAACAAUUGCUUAGCUGGUGGAGCAAUCUCCAGUAUUCUAACAUGUCAUAAUCAAUUGUUCAAAAAAUAAUGUUAUGUUAGUAAACAAUGUUAUCUAUCUUAUCAGCUUAAAAUAUUUUUUUAUUUUUUUUUUAACCAGGUAUCUUCUACGCGCAACUGCUGAGAGUAAUCUCUCGAGUCUUGUGAGACUCAAAUGAGCAGCAAACUCUCCCUAAAAGUUUUAACGUUGCUGCAUGCCUGAUUCAUGAAUCAAAUUCAGGACCUUAGUUAACCUAGAAGAGACCCGCGUCAUCUCAUCUAUUUUUAUUUUUUUCAAAAAACAAACCAAGAGUUGAAAAAGUGAAUACUAAUAAAUGAAAUGAAUGACUUACUUCUUGAAAAACUUGAGACUGAGAUCUCCAGAGUUGUUCUUGAUUGCAUUCCAUGACUUCACCACAAGAGCUUCUUGCUCCUCUGUGAAACAAUUUCCCUUGUUUUCUUCCAUGUUAACAGCUACUAAUUAAAGGUAACAGUGUCAAUGGAUAGUUAGGAAAUUGUUGAUUUUGUAGCUUCUGCUAUGAUACAGUUUAUAUGGUAUAGUGAGAUUCAUUCAAUGAUUGAAUAUUAAGUUGGCUCUUGGUGUCAAUGGGGAGUUAUUUUACACUUUGGCAGCUUGUGCUUUUUCCAAAAAAUUAGGAGUAUUAUAUUUGUUUAAAUUUUAAAACAAUUUUAUGUUUUUGUUUUCACCACCAGUAUCCGGUCCACUGGACCGCUUAAUCUGGUUCGGGGGUCAAUUAUGACAUCAAGUGGUUCUAGCCCCUCACGGUUGUAGUUGUGAAUAAUUAGUCUCACGUCUUAUUAUGUUAAAAUAAGGUUUUAAUUUUAACAUAAAAUUUCUAUGAAAAGCAGGAGAGAAAACAACACAAAGUAAAGAACAAGAAAACAAAUAAAACUAUAAAACAAAUUCCAAUAUACACAGUGAGGCCUGCAGAUCACUCAUUUCUUUAAAAACCACAAACUCCAAAUUUACCAAUUCUAACACUUUUUUCUCGCAUCCGAAUGGAUAAAUCCGGACAAAACUAUAUUUUUUUUAAGGAUGGAUAAUCCACUUCGGAAUAAUUUUUCAGAAUAAUCGCUCCUCUCCCCUUCAUGAAUUGCUUAGAAUCCCCCAUCCACCGAAAGAUAUAUCUUCCGGUAGGUAAAUUCUGCCGAAAGAUAUCUUCUAGUAUCAAGUCGACCUUUUGGCUUUAGUAGUUUCUAAGACUUUCAAUUUCAUUUUAGUUUUUUCUUUUUGAAAUUUCAUUUUAGUUUUUUGUAGAUAUAUUCUGUUAUUAUGUUGUUCUGCUUUUUAUUUUUAUUCAUCCCCCCAAAUCAUAAUUUGAUUAUUGCUUUGGAAUUCCAACUAAACUCAUUUUGAAGUAUAAAGAGUUGUAUUUACUCCCUAUUUCAUAUGGACUAAAAAUAAAAUUAAUGUCACAAAGCUAUCAGAACAUUAAACUAUAUUUAACUUAAAAUUACUUAUCAAAUUGGCAUUGGAAUGCUGAUCAUGAGCGUCUUUCAUUUCAGCUUUGAUGGCAUUGGCUAGUUGAUAAUGAGCUUCUCCCCAAGCAUUUCUCAUAGCAGCUGACCACAUCUCAGGCACUGCUUCUUCUAUUGUCUCCAAAAGUGCUUGCUUUGUUACCUUAACAAAAACAAAAAUAAUUGUCAAAUAAUACAUUAGUCUUCUACAAAAGUAGUCUUUAUAAAAUUAUAAUCCAACAAAAGUAAAAAAGCAUUCACAAUUCAACAUUAUUGUUUCUCAAUUUUCCCUCAUUAUACAUAUUUUUUGUAAGAGAGC
This 2643-nucleotide long non-coding RNA is filed under the name Trifolium pratense (red clover). Its description in RNAcentral is "long non-coding RNA (TPRA_LNC001435)". Lineage: Eukaryota; Viridiplantae; Streptophyta; Magnoliopsida; Fabales; Fabaceae. The record is from RNAcentral.